RNAcentral lists this ribosomal RNA (1754 nucleotides) under human gut metagenome. RNAcentral's name for it is "bacterial LSU rRNA". It matches the Rfam family "Bacterial large subunit ribosomal RNA", at positions 131 to 1973 of the family's 2925-position model. The record is from RNAcentral.
AGAUACUAACUCGUGACUGGAGUUCAGACGUGUGCUCUUCCGAUCUCGCUGAAGUGAAACAUCUCAGUAAGCGGAGGAAAAGAAAGAGAAAUCGAUUCCGUAAGUAGUGGCGAGCGAAAGCGGAUGGAGCCCAAACCGAAGGUAUUCCUUCGGGGUUGUAGGACCACGUCAUAUUCGACCAUACUGGAUAGUAGAACAGCCUGGAAAGGCUGGCCGGAGAAGGUGAAAGCCCUGUAGACGAAAUCCAGAGUGGGAAUUAGUGGUAUCCUGAGUAAUACAUCACACGUGGAACGAUGUAUGAACCCGCGCGGACCACCGCGCAAGGCUAAAUACUAGUUGGCGACCGAUAGUGAACAAGUACCGCGAGGGAAAGGUGAAAAGAACCGCUGUGAGCGGAGUGAAAUAGAACCUGAAACCGUAUGUCUACAAAGUGUCAGAGCAGAGCAAUCUGCGAUGGCGUGCCUUUUGUUUAAUGAGUCUGCGAGUCAGUGUUUGUGGCAAGACUAAGGGCUUCCGGCCCGGAGUCGCAGCGAAAGCAAGUCCGAACAGGGCGCAAUAAGUCGCAGGUACUGGACCCGAAGCGGAGGUGACCUACCCUUGGCCAGGUUGAAGCAUGGGUAAAACCAUGUGGAGGACCGAACAGGUGAACGUUGAAAAGUUCUCUGAUGAGCUGAGGGUAGGAGUGAAAGGCUAAUCAAACCCCGUGAUAGCUGGUUCUCUUCGAAAUGCAUUUAGGUGCAGCGUCACGUGCUGAUGCGCGGGGGUAGAGCACUGACAAGGCUAGGGGGCACACCCGCUUACCAAACCUUAUCAAACUCCGAAUACCGUGCAAUGGAACGUGGCAGUGAGACAGUGGGGGAUAAGCUUCAUUGUCGAGAGGGAAACAACCCAGACCAGCAGCUAAGGUGCCUAAAUAACGCUCAGUGGAAAGGAUGUGGGAUUACACAGACAGUGAGGAUGUUGGCUUAGAAGCAGCCACCAUUUAAAAAAUGCGUAAUAGCUUACUCAUCGAGUGAUCCUGCGCCGAAAAUGAUUGGCGAUCAAGCGUUAUACCGAAGCUCUGGACUUUGCCGCAAGGCAGAGUGGUAGAAGAGCGUUGCAUGCGCGUCGAAGGGCGAUGGCGACUGACCCUGGAGCACAUGCAAGUGAGUAUGCAGACAUGAGUAACGUUAAGCCGGGUGAAAUCCCCGGCCGCCGUAAACCCGAGGUUUCCAGGGCAACGUGUUUCGUCCCUGGGUUAGCCGGGACCUAAGCCGAGGCCGAGAGGCGUAGGCGAUGGACAUCAGGUUAAUAAUCCUGAGCUCGCAACCCUUAAACUGGGGGGACGCAUGAGAAAAGAUGACUAGGUUAUUGAAUUCCGAGUUGAGUCCACGGACUCAGCGCAUCAUUGGAUCGAGUGCCAAGAAAAGCCCCAGCGUAUGCUAAGCGACCCGUACCGCAAACCGACACAGGUGGGUGGGUAGAAUAUACCAAGGCGUAAGAGUGAAACCUGGUUAAGGAACUCGGCAAAUUAGCCCCGUAACUUCGGAAGAAGGGGUGCCUGCAGCGAUGCAGGCCGCAGAGAAAUGGCCCAACCGACUGUUUAUCAAAAACACAGCACUCUGCAAAGACGCAAGUCGAAGUAUAGGGUGUGACACGUGACCAAUGCCGAAAGAUUAAGGCAAGGGGUUAGCCGCAAGGCGAAGCUCUAAACCCAAGUCCCGGUGAAUGUCGGCCGUAACUAUAACGGUCCUAAGGUAGCGAAAUUCCUUGUC